UAUAACGUCGGGGGCCGGCUUGGGAAAGCGUACCCGUGUGGUGUUGGCUUAGCCAACAUAAACGCUUUACCUGCCUGCCCUGUCUGAACAUACCCAUGUUUUUUGCGUACCAAUUGUUUCCUCGGUGGGCUUGCCUGCCAGUAGGACGUUAUAAAACCCUUUGUAAUUGCAGUCAGCGUCAGAAAAACUUAAUAGUUACAACUUUCAACAACGGAUCUCUUGGUUCU
RNAcentral lists this unclassified non-coding RNA (227 nucleotides) under rhizosphere metagenome. Its description in RNAcentral is "partial ribosomal RNA internal transcribed spacer region". The record is from RNAcentral.